CCCGCCAAUUCCUUUAAGUUUCUCUGGUUGAUCCUGCCAGAGGCCACUGCUAUCGGAGUUCGAUUAAGCCAUGCGAGUCGAGAGGUGCAAGACCUCGGCAUACUGCUCAGUAACACGUGGACAUCCUACGCUAUGGAGGGGGAUAACCCCGGGAAACUGGGGAUAAUACCCCAUAGACUAUAGAUGCUGGAAUGCUUUGUAGUUGAAAGGUCCGCCGCCAUAGGAUGGGUCUGCGGCCGAUUAGGUUGUUGUUGGGGUAACGGCCCAACAAGCCUGUAAUCGGUACGGGUUGUGGGAGCAAGAGCCCGGAGAUGGAUUCUGAGACACGAAUCCAGGCCCUACGGGGCGCAGCAGGCGCGAAAACUUUACAAUGCGGGAAACCGUGAUAAGGGAACUCCGAGUGCCCGUAAAAUCGGGCUGUCCAUCUGUUUAAAUAACAGGUGAAGAAAGGGCCGGGCAAGACCGGUGCCAGCCGCCGCGGUAAUACCGGCGGCUCGAGUGGUGGCCACUAUUACUGGGCUUAAAGCGUUCGUAGCUGGUCUGUUAAGUCUCUGGGGAAAUCUACUGGCUUAACCAAUAGGCGUCUCAGGGAUACUGGCAGACUAGGGACCGGGAGAGGUGAGAGGUACUCCAGGGGUAGGAGUGAAAUCCUGUAAUCCUUGGGGGACCACCUGUGGCGAAGGCGUCUCACCAGAACGGCUCCGACAGUGAGGGACGAAAGCUGGGGGAGCAAACCGGAUUAGAUACCCGGGUAGUCCCAGCCGUAAACGAUGCGCGUUAGGUGUAUCGGUGACCACGAGUCACCGAGGUGCCGAAGAGAAAUCGUGAAACGUGCCG
Molecule: ribosomal RNA, 837 nt
Filed under: uncultured archaeon
Lineage: Archaea
Description: bacterial SSU rRNA
Rfam family: Archaeal small subunit ribosomal RNA
Source: RNAcentral